RNAcentral lists this transfer RNA (72 nucleotides) under Bos taurus (domestic cattle). It matches the Rfam family "tRNA". From Rfam's summary of the family: Transfer RNA (tRNA) molecules are approximately 80 nucleotides in length. The record is from Rfam by way of RNAcentral. RNAcentral also lists the same sequence under 2 other names. Lineage: Eukaryota; Metazoa; Chordata; Mammalia; Artiodactyla; Bovidae.
UCCCUAGUGGCUCAGUUGGUAAAGAAUCCGCCUGCAGUGAGGGAGACCUGGGUUCAAUUCCUGGUUUGGGAA